UACGUAGGGGGCAAGCGUUGUCCGGAAUCAUUGGGCGUAAAGAGCGUGUAGGCGGCUCGGUAAGUCCGCUGUGAAAGUCCAGGGCUCAACCCUGGAAUGCCGGUGGAAACUGUCGAGCUAGAGUCCGGAAGAGGCGAGUGGAAUUCCUGGUGUAGCGGUGAAAUGCGCAGAUAUCAGGAGGAACACCAAUGGCGAAGGCAGCUCGCUGGGACGGUACUGACGCUGAGACGCGAAAAGCGUGGGGGAGCAAAACAGG
RNAcentral lists this ribosomal RNA (256 nucleotides) under uncultured bacterium. RNAcentral describes it as "partial 16S ribosomal RNA". It matches the Rfam family "Bacterial small subunit ribosomal RNA", at positions 524 to 776 of the family's 1533-position model. The record is from RNAcentral.